UCAAAAUCAGACCUUUGGCCACUAAAACGACGACCUAGGGCAAAAUAGGGAUUCAUUCAAAGAUCAAAGGUUAGGAUUUGAGAACUAGCUUGAAGUUUUUUCUAAGAACAUAAGAAUUGUUUUGAGAAGGUUUUGGAGGACUUAAUAAUUGUUGUUCAAAGUCAGGGUUUGUAUCAAUGAUUUGGGUUUUAUAUAAUAUAAUUAGGGCUAGAUAUUUUGGCUAGUUCGUGCAAUUGGUGUGACAUCUAUGGUUGAAAACUUGAAAAUAUUUGGAUUAUUUAGUGUGUUAAGUGUAUACAAAAUUUUGUAAUAAUCUAACAGCAUGGUUUAGAGAUAUCUAGUUUUUAGCACAAGAGGGUUUCGGAAGGUGGCAGUUUGAGGUUGGGUAGGAUUUCUAUAAUAUCUAAAGAUCUAUCAGUCGGAUUAAAGUGAAAAUUGGCAUGAUGUUGAAGGACUUGAAGAUCAAGCUAUACACCAAUUUUGAGACAAAGUUAGUAUUUGAAAAGGGAGAAAUCAUUGCUGGGAUUUCUACUUCACUUUUCAAGUUGGCAGCCGAGUGACAUUAGUGCAAUUUUUGGAGGUUUUCUCACAAUCUAUAAGUUGGAUUGGGCUAAAAAUUCUUAAGCAUAUAGAAGACUUACAUUAACAAUUGUAUG
Molecule: long non-coding RNA, 656 nt
Filed under: Physcomitrium patens
Lineage: Eukaryota; Viridiplantae; Streptophyta; Bryopsida; Funariales; Funariaceae
Description: long non-coding RNA (PPAT_LNC008898)
Source: RNAcentral